AAAUUGUUGAAUUUGUUGUUGAGGUCAGCGCUGACGCUCAUGUCGGUGUACAUUCGGUGGAGUUUGCUGGUGAACUCGUAGCCACAGGCUUGCUGUGAAGCGGAAAGAGGAAUGAGGACACAAAAACUGGAAAAAAAUGACGAUGCUGUGCUACUGACGUUUUCCUGAGAGAGGUUACUGGUGCCUCUGAUGCCCUCGUUGUGGAUGUGAACCUGCAGCUCCUGGAUCAUGUGAGGCAACCCGUUGGAGACAGCCCUCAGCAGGGUGUACAUGUUCGCCAUGUCUGCGUGGAACAACAAUUGAUACAAUGUCAUCACUGACAUAUUAAAGAAAGAAGCAAAUAAAAACAGCGCACUGA
Oryzias melastigma (Indian medaka) is the source of this 358-nucleotide long non-coding RNA. RefSeq lists it as uncharacterized. The record is from RefSeq and is a predicted model, not a curated record. The transcript has 2 exons. Lineage: Eukaryota; Metazoa; Chordata; Actinopteri; Beloniformes; Adrianichthyidae.